UCUCAACACGGGAAAACUCACUAGUUUAAGACAAGAGUAGGAUUGACAGAUUAAUAGCUCUUUCUUGAUUUCUUGGAUGGUGAUGCAUGGCCGUUUUUAGUUCGUGAAUAUGAUUUGUCUGGUUAAUUCCGAUAACGAACGAGAUCUUAACCUGCUAAUUAGCAGUAAGUACAACAUAUUUCUAUGCUGAAUUUGUAUUUGGAUAAUUUAAAAGGUUCUUUUGCCGUGCAUAUAAUGAGUACGGAAAAAAUGCAUACUGC
This 260-nucleotide ribosomal RNA is filed under the name Plasmodium knowlesi. RNAcentral's name for it is "partial small subunit ribosomal RNA". It matches the Rfam family "Eukaryotic small subunit ribosomal RNA", at positions 1198 to 1407 of the family's 1831-position model. Lineage: Eukaryota; Apicomplexa; Aconoidasida; Haemosporida; Plasmodiidae. The record is from RNAcentral.